AUUGAACGCUGGCGGCAUGCCUUACACAUGCAAGUCGAACGGUAACGGGCCUUCGGGUGCCGACGAGUGGCGAACGGGUGAGUAAUACAUCGGAACGUGGCCGAUCGUGGGGGAUAACGAGGCGAAAGCUUUGCUAAUACCGCAUACGAUCUACGGAUGAAAGCAGGGGACCGCAAGGCCUUGCGCGGACGGAGCGGCCGAUGGCAGAUUAGGUAGUUGGUGGGAUAAAAGCUUACCAAGCCGACGAUCUGUAGCUGGUCUGAGAGGAUGAUCAGCCACACUGGGACUGAGACACGGCCCAGACUCCUACGGGAGGCAGCAGUGGGGAAUUUUGGACAAUGGGCGCAAGCCUGAUCCAGCCAUGCCGCGUGCAGGAUGAAGGCCUUCGGGUUGUAAACUGCUUUUGUACGGAACGAAAAGCCUUCUUUUAAUACAGGAGGGUCAUGACGGUACCGUAAGAAUAAGCACCAGCUAACUACGUG
This 482-nucleotide ribosomal RNA is filed under the name uncultured bacterium. RNAcentral describes it as "partial 16S ribosomal RNA". It matches the Rfam family "Bacterial small subunit ribosomal RNA", at positions 30 to 507 of the family's 1533-position model. The record is from RNAcentral.